UCGGAGUCUGCAACCCGACUCCGUGAAGCUGGAUUCGCUAGUAAUCGCGCAUCAGCCAUGGCGCGGUGAAUACGUUCCCGGGCCUUGUACACACCGCCCGUCAAGCCAUGGGAGCCGGGGGCACUUGAAGUACGCCGCCGCGAGGAGCGUCCUAGAGUGAAACUGGUGACUGGGGCUAAGUCGUAACAAGGUAUC
This 195-nucleotide ribosomal RNA is filed under the name uncultured bacterium. RNAcentral's name for it is "partial 16S ribosomal RNA". It matches the Rfam family "Bacterial small subunit ribosomal RNA", at positions 1298 to 1500 of the family's 1533-position model. The record is from RNAcentral.